GAAGAGGUGAACAAAUUAUUGGGUAGACCUGGGACUACCAGUUCAGCUGUAUAUUGAGCUUAUAAUGGUUGCCUAUAUGGACAAAGCCUUCCACCUUAAUUUUUUCUUUUAAAAGAUAAAAACUAAAUUGUGCCUACUCCCAAUCACUCUAUCCAUUUCAGAACCCCCCUCUUAAGGUCUCCACCAUCUUCCAAAAUUUUAGCCACACUGUCAGCAUCUUGCUUCCUCCAUCUCCCAUAUGCCAUACAUGCCUAUGUCCUCCACCUCCUAAGCAUCACUCCACUCUCUGCUCGAUUAUGAGCAGCACUCCACCCAC
RNAcentral lists this long non-coding RNA (316 nucleotides) under Elaeis guineensis (African oil palm). RNAcentral describes it as "long non-coding RNA (EGUI_LNC059971)". The record is from RNAcentral. Lineage: Eukaryota; Viridiplantae; Streptophyta; Magnoliopsida; Arecales; Arecaceae.